AUAAAAAACCAAUGCCCUUCGGGGCUCUCUGGUGAUUCAUAAUAACUUCUCGAAUCGCACGGCCUUGUGCCGGCGAUGGUUCAUUCAAAUUUCUGCCCUAUCAACUUUCGACGGCUGGGUCUUGGCCAGCCGUGGUGACAACGGGUAACGGAGGGUUAGGGCUCGACCCCGGAGAAGGAGCCUGAGAAACGGCUACUACAUCCAAGGAAGGCAGCAGGCGCGCAAAUUACCCAAUCCCGACACGGGGAGGUAGUGACAAUAAAUACUGAUACAGGGCUCUUUCGGGUCUUGUAAUUGGAAUGAGUACAAUUUAAAUCCCUUAACGAGGAACAAUUGGAGGGCAAGUCUGGUGCCAGCAGCCGCGGUAAUUCCAGCUCCAAUAGCGUAUAUUAAAGUUGUUGAGGUUAAAAAGCUCGUAGUUGAACCUUGGGCCUAGCCGGCCGGUCCGCCUCACCGCGUGCACUGGCUCGGCUGGGUCUUUCCUUCUGGAGAACCGCAUGCCCUUCACUGGGUGUGCC
This 518-nucleotide ribosomal RNA is filed under the name uncultured fungus. RNAcentral's name for it is "SSU rRNA". It matches the Rfam family "Eukaryotic small subunit ribosomal RNA", at positions 214 to 732 of the family's 1831-position model. Lineage: Eukaryota; Fungi. The record is from RNAcentral.